GGCCGCGUGGCCUAAUGGCUAAGGCGCUAGAUUUCGGUUCACCGUCAUCCAAAUCUCUAGAGAUUCCAGGUUCGACUCCUGGCGUGGUCG
RNAcentral lists this transfer RNA (90 nucleotides) under Fusarium tricinctum. RNAcentral describes it as "tRNA-Arg". It matches the Rfam family "tRNA". Rfam says of the family: Transfer RNA (tRNA) molecules are approximately 80 nucleotides in length. Their secondary structure includes four short double-helical elements and three loops (D, anti-codon, and T loops). Lineage: Eukaryota; Fungi; Ascomycota; Sordariomycetes; Hypocreales; Nectriaceae. The record is from RNAcentral.